GUAACAAGGUUUCCGUAGGUGAACCUGCGGAAGGAUCAUUACCGAGUGCAGGUCUGCCCCCGGGCAGGCCUAACCUCCCACCCGUGAAUACCUGACCAACGUUGCUUCGGCGGUGCGCCCCCCCGGGGGUAGCCGCCGGAGACCACAUUGAACCUCUUGUCUUUAGUGUUGUCUGAGCUUGAUAGCAAACCUAUUAAAACUUUCAACAAUGGAUCUCUUGGUUCCGGCAUCGAUGAAGAACGCAGCGAACUGCGAUAAGUAAUGUGAAUUGCAGAAUUCAGUGAAUCAUCGAGUCUUUGAACGCACAUUGCGCCCCCUGGCAUUCCGGGGGGCAUGCCUGUCCGAGCGUCAUUGCUGCCCUUCAAGCCCGGCUUGUGUGUUGGGUCGUCGUCCCCCCUGGGGGACGGGCCCGAAAGGCAGCGGCGGCACCGCGUCCGGUCCUCGAGCGUAUGGGGCUUUGUCACCCGCUCGAUUAGGGCCGGCCGGGCGCCAGCCGGCGUCUCCAACCUUCUAUUUUACCAGGUUGACCUCGGAUCAGGUAGGGAUACCCGCUGAACUUAAGCAUAUCA
This 569-nucleotide unclassified non-coding RNA is filed under the name Aspergillus insuetus. RNAcentral describes it as "sequence contains 18S rRNA gene, ITS1, 5.8S rRNA gene, ITS2, 28S rRNA gene". The stretch from base 198 to 351 matches the Rfam family "5.8S ribosomal RNA". Lineage: Eukaryota; Fungi; Ascomycota; Eurotiomycetes; Eurotiales; Aspergillaceae. The record is from RNAcentral.